UCCGCGUGAUGGACGCCCGGAAGCAGGGACAACAAAGGCCCCUGCGCAAGGGCCGCCCGGUCUGCUGAUCUUUCCGCUGCUCGCGGGGCGAAGAUGGCGCCCAGACCCUACAGCUGUGCCCGAGUUUGGGUCGAAUGGGCGCCUCUACUUUCUCUGGACUAGGCCUGAGAGUUGGCCCAAGGGGCAUGCGGGACCUCGUGUGUGCACAACCCUGGGGUGUGCCCCUUUCCACGUGUGUACAACCUCGGGACAGUGCACUCGUCCCAGUAUACGUAGACUUGUGUUUGCACCAUCCGAUAUGCACGAACCGGUGGGUUUCCACGUUUUCCUCUGUGCACGAUCUCAAGGAUUUGCUUUUCACACGAGUAUGCGCACACUUGUGUUUGCACCGAAUGGCUGCCCACAGAGCUCAUUGGGCGUCUCCCACUUUGCAUUGGGGCCACGCGGUGACAGCGAUGGGCAGCUAGUGAAAGAAAUGGGCAGUUACGGGCAACACGGCCAGCCAAAGAAACUAGAAGGGAAGAAGGGAAAACUUCAUCACCCCUGCAGCAGCCAAACACUUCCUGCCUCUAGGAGUUUAUAGACCCAAAUUGCAGGACACUAGGGUCCAAGAGCAAAAUAGCUUCGUCACACCUGAUAUGAUGCUGAAAGUCUAUCCAAUGUGGAUUACAGCCCGCUGGGCUGCCCCUGUGCCUCUGGGAUUAAAACUCUAGGGAUGAGGGGCGCCUGGAUGGCUCAGUCGGUUGAGCGUCCGACUUCAGCUCAGGUCACGAUCUCGCGGUCCGUGAGUUCGAGUCCCGCGUCGGGCUCUGGGCUGAUGGCUCAGAGCCUGGAGCCUACUUCACAUUCUGUGUCUCCCUCUCUCUCUGCCCCUCCCCCGUUCAUGCUCUGUCUCUCUCUGUCCCAAAAAUAAAUAAAUGUUAAAAAAAAAAAAAAAAACCCUCUAGGGAUGGGACACCUAGGUGGCUCAGUCUGUUAAGUGUCCUACUCUUGAUAUCAGCUCAGGUCAUGGUUGUGGGAUUGAGACCCAUGUUGGGCUCUAAGCUGAGCAUGGAACCUGCUUGGGAUUCUCUCUCCCUCUUUCUCUGCCCUUCCCCCACUAGAGCAUACGCUCACACGCUCUAUCUCUCUCUCUCAAAAUAAGUAAAAAAUUGGGGCGCCUGGGUGGCUCAGUUGGUUAAGUGUCCAACUUCAGCUCAGGUCGUGAUCUCAUAGUUCGUGAGUUCGAGUCCCAUGUCAGGCUCUGUGCUGACAGCUCAGAGCCUGGAGCCUGCUUCAGAUUCUGUGUCUCCCUCUCUCUCUGCCCCUUCCCCACUCAUGCUCUGUCUCUGUCUUAAGAAAAUAAUAAUAAUAAAAUAAAAAUAAAUAAGUAAAAAAUAAUAAAACAUUAAAAAAUAAUAAAACAACUCACAGACCUGGCUAGCUUAGUCUGCAGAGCAUGAGACUCUUGUUCUCGGAGCUGUGGGUUCGAGCCCCACGUUGGAUGUAGAGAGUACUUCAAAAUAAAAUCUUUGGGGAAAAGAAGAACAACUGGGGAGCUGUGAAGGUGCAGACUGGAUGGGUGCACAACCCCUGCUACCCUACCAUGGGGGGUGACCUUGCCAAACAUAGCCUCCCUCUCCCAUAUGCAUUCCACAGUUGCCCCAGUCCUGGGCAUGGUCCAUAGUCCUUGCUACGGGGGUUAGGGAGAACUGACCUGAUCAGGAGCACCAGGCACUUUAUGCAGAAAAAACCACUAGGGACCUUCCUCACAAGGGCACUGUGGGCU
Neofelis nebulosa (Clouded leopard) is the source of this 1768-nucleotide long non-coding RNA. RefSeq lists it as uncharacterized. The transcript is spliced from 3 exons. NCBI's taxonomy places the organism in Eukaryota, Metazoa, Chordata, Mammalia, Carnivora, Felidae. The record is from RefSeq and is a predicted model, not a curated record.